Long non-coding RNA from Dreissena polymorpha, 532 nucleotides. RefSeq lists it as uncharacterized. The record is from RefSeq and is a predicted model, not a curated record. The transcript is spliced from 2 exons. NCBI's taxonomy places the organism in Eukaryota, Metazoa, Mollusca, Bivalvia, Myida, Dreissenidae.
UGUUGUGUGGUAAAUUUUAAACUUGAUAUCAGUUCUGUUAUAAAUAAUAACAUGACAUAAUCUUUGUUAAUGGACAAAUCGUGAUUUUGUAACAGGUUUCUAUUAGUGCGUGUUACUUCAAAAACUUUGUAAUCACUUUACCAUUGCGGAAUGACCAUGUAUAAAAGCAAUGCAAGCUAUACAGUCACUGUCAACGACUUUUUUUAUGCUUUUAAAUGUCCGGACGUGUCUAAACAUGGCGAAUGGUAGAUCUUUCCAGGAAAACUGACAGAAGCCUGAGAAUACAUACCAGAAUGUUAUAAGAUACAUCUUCGACGAAGCUGAUACAGACGGACACGGGUGUAUUCGGUUGAAAGGAACAGCUGAAAACACUGGCAACAUAGGGCAUCCUGGCGGCUUCGAUCGAAAUAGGAUUGGUGACAUUCACAAGUUCUUGUGUUGUUUGAACUGUACGUUUUUACUUAUUUAUAAAGACUUCUCGUUUAAGUUCCGUGUCUCUUAAACAAGACAAAUAUACGUUUAGAUUAUUUUA